AGUGAACGCUGGCGGUAGGCCUAACACAUGCCAGUCGAACGGCAGCACAGUAAGAGCUUGCUCUUACGGGUGGCGAGUGGCGGACGGGUGAGGAAUACAUCGGAAUCUACUUUUUCGUGGGGGAUAACGUAGGGAAACUUACGCUAAUACCGCAUACGACCUACGGGUGAAAGCAGGGGAUCUUCGGACCUUGCGCGAUUGAAUGAGCCGAUGUCGGAUUAGCUAGUUGGCGGGGUAAAGGCCCACCAAGGCGACGAUCCGUAGCUGGUCUGAGAGGAUGAUCAGCGACACUGGAACUGAGACACGGUCCAGACUCCUACGGGAGGCAGCAGUGGGGAAUAUUGGACAAUGGGCGCAAGCCUGAUCCAGCCAUACCGCGUGGGUGAAGAAGGCCUUCGGGUUGUUAAGCCCUUUUGUUGGGAAAGAAAAGCAGCAGGUUAAUACCCCGCUGUUCUGACGGUACCCAAAGAAUAAGCACCGGCUAACUUCGUG
RNAcentral lists this ribosomal RNA (492 nucleotides) under uncultured bacterium. RNAcentral describes it as "partial 16S ribosomal RNA". It matches the Rfam family "Bacterial small subunit ribosomal RNA", at positions 29 to 507 of the family's 1533-position model. The record is from RNAcentral.